GUCUCCGUAGUUUAAUGGAUAGAAUUUCAGAUUCCGGUUCUGACGAUGUGGGUUCGACUCCCGCCGGGGACACAA
Molecule: transfer RNA, 75 nt
Filed under: Sphingobacterium paucimobilis HER1398
Lineage: Bacteria; Pseudomonadati; Bacteroidota; Sphingobacteriia; Sphingobacteriales; Sphingobacteriaceae
Description: tRNA-Arg
Rfam family: tRNA
About the family: Transfer RNA (tRNA) molecules are approximately 80 nucleotides in length. Their secondary structure includes four short double-helical elements and three loops (D, anti-codon, and T loops).
Source: RNAcentral